RNAcentral lists this ribosomal RNA (504 nucleotides) under Triticum aestivum (bread wheat). Its description in RNAcentral is "partial small subunit ribosomal RNA". The record is from RNAcentral. Lineage: Eukaryota; Viridiplantae; Streptophyta; Magnoliopsida; Poales; Poaceae.
AUGAUCGUAUAUACCUGUAUAGUACUAUACAGUAAGGCGAUGAACACCAAAACAUUUAGCUACAGCCAGACUAGACAGAGAGAUGGACGCUGGCUGAUCUAUCUAAAUUAUGUUGAAACCGAAGUACCAGAAGGCGGGACGCCGCCCUUGCCCGUCGACGCGCUUGCAGCGGCACCAGAAUGCGGUGCCGCCGCCCUUGCCCUGCGCCACCGCGACCUCCUCGUCCACGUAGAACCACAGGAAGAAGGGGUCCUUGGUGCUCGGCUCCCUGCCCACGUCGCCGCCGCCGCCGAUGGGGAUCUCCAGGGGGCCCAGCGGCCCGAGCUUGAGGCGCACCCGCUCGAAGACGAAGGCCAGGAUCUUCUUCUUCCACGACAGCCGCCCCUCGAAGCUCAGGCUCCCCGCCCGGCCCAGAAUCUGAUGCCAUGGCCGGAAUGCGAGAGAGGCACGAGGAGGUCGCUCACCGCGGCGUCGAAGCGCUGGACGGCGGUCACCGGGAAGUAG